This 497-nucleotide ribosomal RNA is filed under the name uncultured bacterium. RNAcentral's name for it is "partial 16S ribosomal RNA". It matches the Rfam family "Bacterial small subunit ribosomal RNA", at positions 28 to 507 of the family's 1533-position model. The record is from RNAcentral.
GAUGAACGCUGGCGGCGUGCCUAAUACAUGCCAGUCGAGCGAACAGACGAGGAGCUUGCUCCUCUGACGUUAGCGGCGGACGGGUGAGUAACACGUGGAUAACCUACCUAUAAGACUGGGAUAACUUCGGGAAACCGGAGCUAAUACCGGAUAAUAUAUUGAACCGCAUGGUUCAAUAGUGAAAGACGGUUUUGCUGUCACUUAUAGAUGGAUCCGCGCCGCAUUAGCUAGUUGGUAAGGUAACGGCUUACCAAGGCAACGAUGCGUAGCCGACCUGAGAGGGUGAUCGGCCACACUGGAACUGAGACACGGUCCAGACUCCUACGGGAGGCAGCAGUAGGGAAUCUUCCGCAAUGGGCGAAAGCCUGACGGAGCAACGCCGCGUGAGUGAUGAAGGUCUUCGGAUCGUAAAACUCUGUUAUUAGGGAAGAACAAAUGUGUAAGUAACUGUGCACAUCUUGACGGUACCUAAUCAGAAAGCCACGGCUAACUACGUG